Molecule: ribosomal RNA, 448 nt
Filed under: uncultured bacterium
Lineage: Bacteria
Description: bacterial SSU rRNA
Rfam family: Bacterial small subunit ribosomal RNA
Source: RNAcentral
UGCCAGACUCCUACGGGAGGCAGCAGUGGGGAAUAUUGGGCAAUGGGCGCAAGCCUGACCCAGCAACGCCGCGUGAAGGAAGAAGGCUUUCGGGUUGUAAACUUCUUUUAUUGAGGACGAAACAAAUGACGGUACUCAAUGAAUAAGCCACGGCUAACUGCGUGCUAGCAGCCGCGGUAAUACGUAGGUGGCAAGCGUUAUCCGGAUUUACUGGGUGUAAAGGGCGUGUAGGCGGGACUGCAAGUUGGGUGUCAAAUCUACCGGCUCAACCGGUAGCCGCACUCAAAACUGCAGUUCUUGAGUGAAGUAGAGGCAGGCGGAAUUCCUAGUGUAGCGGUGAAAUGCGUAGAUAUUAGGAGGAACACCAGUGGCGAAGGCGGCCUGCUGGGCUUUUACUGACGCUGAGGCUCGAAAGUGUGGGGAGCAAACAGGAUUAGAUACCCGCGUA